AGGAUAAACGCUGGCGGCGUGCCUAACACAUGCAAGUCGAACGUCUCUUUCUUCGGGAAGAGGAGUGGCGGACGGGUGAGGAACACGUGGGAACCUGCCCUUUAGUGAGGAAUACCGGCGAGAAAUCGCCGACAAGACCGCAUAGCCCUCUUUGAUGAGAGUCAAAGAAGGAAAGCUUCGCAAGAGGCGCUAGAGGAGGGGCCUGCGUCCGAUUAGCUAGUUGGUGGGGUAAGAGCCUACCAAGGCGUCGAUCGGUAGCUGGUCUGAGAGGACGAUCAGCCACACUGGGAUUGAGAACGGCCCAGACUCCUACGGGGGGCAGCAGUGAGGAAUUUUCGGCAAUGGGGGAAACCCUGACCGAGCAACGCCGCGUGCAGGAAGACGGCCUUCGGGUUGUAAACUGCUUUUCUUUGGGAAGAGAACGGACGGUACCAGAGGAAUCAGCCCGGCUCACUACGUGCCAGCAGCCGC
RNAcentral lists this ribosomal RNA (471 nucleotides) under uncultured bacterium. RNAcentral describes it as "SSU rRNA". It matches the Rfam family "Bacterial small subunit ribosomal RNA", at positions 26 to 518 of the family's 1533-position model. The record is from RNAcentral.